RNAcentral lists this ribosomal RNA (506 nucleotides) under uncultured bacterium. Its description in RNAcentral is "partial 16S ribosomal RNA". It matches the Rfam family "Bacterial small subunit ribosomal RNA", at positions 28 to 523 of the family's 1533-position model. The record is from RNAcentral.
GAUGAACGCUAGCUACAGGCUUAACGCAUGCAAGUCGAGGGGUAACGAGAGGAAAGCUUGCUUUCCUUGUCGACGACCGGCGCACGGGUGAGUAACGCGUAUCCAACCUGCCCCCAACUAGGGAAUAACCUUGCGAAAGUAAGACUAAUACCCUAUAAUUUCCUCAGAUGUCAUCUGACGAGGAAUAAAGAUUUAUCGGUUGUGGAUGGGGAUGCGUCUGAUUAGCUUGUUGGCGGGGUAACGGCCCACCAAGGCAACGAUCAGUAGGGGUUCUGAGAGGGAGGUCCCCCACAUUGGAACCGAGACACGGUCCAAACUCCUACGGGAGGCAGCAGUGAGGAAUAUUGGUCAAUGGGCGGAAGCCUGAACCAGCCAAGUAGCGUGCAGGAUGACGGCCCUAUGGGUUGUAAACUGCUUUUAUACAGGAAUAAAGUUAGCCACGUGUGGUUAUUUGUAGGUACUGUAUGAAUAAGGACCGGCUAAUUCCGUGCCAGCCGCCGCUGUAA